UGAGGAAUAUUGCACAAUGGGCGCAAGCCUGAUGCAGCGACGCCGCGUGGGUGAAGAAGGUUUUCGGAUCGUAAAGCCCUUUUCUGUGUGACGUAGACAAGGACGGUAGCACAGGAAUAAGUGUCGGCUAACUACGUGCCAGCAGCCGCGGUAAAACGUAGGACACAAGCGUUAUCCGGAGUUACUGGGCGUAAAGGGCGUGCAGGCGGUUUCUUAAGUCAGGCGUGAACCAUUCGGCUAAACCGGGUGUAGUCGUCUGAGACUGGGAGACUUGAGUGUGGUAGAGGCGUGUAGAAUUCCGGGUGUAGUGGUGAAAUGCGUAGAUAUCCGGAGGAAUACCAGUGGCGAAGGCGGCACGCUGGGCCAUAACUGACGCUAAGACGCGAAAGCAUGGGUAGCGAACGGGAUUAGAAACCCCGGUAGUCCAUGCCGUAAACGAUGUACACUGGGUGUUCAGAC
This 459-nucleotide ribosomal RNA is filed under the name uncultured bacterium. RNAcentral describes it as "bacterial SSU rRNA". It matches the Rfam family "Bacterial small subunit ribosomal RNA", at positions 355 to 829 of the family's 1533-position model. The record is from RNAcentral.